RNAcentral lists this ribosomal RNA (472 nucleotides) under uncultured bacterium. RNAcentral's name for it is "bacterial SSU rRNA". It matches the Rfam family "Bacterial small subunit ribosomal RNA", at positions 330 to 797 of the family's 1533-position model. The record is from RNAcentral.
UCCAGACUCCUACGGGAGGCAGCAGUGGGGAAUAUUGCACAAUGGGCGCAAGCCUGAUGCAGCCAUGCCGCGUGUAUGAAGAAGGCCUUCGGGUUGUAAAGUACUUUCAGCGGGGAGGAAGGGAGUAAAGUUAAUACCUUUGCUCAUUGACGUUACCCGCAGAAGAAGCACCGGCUAACUCCGUGCCAGCAGCCGCGGUAAUACGGAGGAUGCGAGCGUUAUCCGGAUUUAUUGGGUUUAAAGGGUGCGUAGGCGGGAUGCCAAGUCAGCGGUAAAAAUGCGGUGCUCAACGCCGUCGAGCCGUUGAAACUGGCGUUCUUGAGUGGGCGAGAAGUAUGCGGAAUGCGUGGUGUAGCGGUGAAAUGCAUAGAUAUCACGCAGAACUCCGAUUGCGAAGGCAACAUACCGGCGCCCUACUGACGCUGAGGCACGAAAGCGUGGGUAUCGAACAGGAUUAGAUACCCUCGUACCA